GACGAACGCUGGCGGCGUGCUUAACACAUGCAAGUCGAACGGAAAGGCCCUGCUUUUGUGGGGUGCUCGAGUGGCGAACGGGUGAGUAACACGUGAGUAACCUGCCCUUGACUUUGGGAUAACCUCAGGAAACUGGGGCUAAUACCGGAUAGGAGCUCCUGCUGCAUGGUGGGGGUUGGAAAGUUUCGGCGGUUGGGGAUGGACUCGCGGCUUAUCAGCUUGUUGGUGGGGUAGUGGCUUACCAAGGCUUUGACGGGUAGCCGGCCUGAGAGGGUGACCGGCCAAAUUGGGACUGGGAUACGGCCAAGACUCCUACGGGAGGCAGCAGUGGGGAUUAUUGCACAAUGGGCGGAAGCCGGAUGCAGCAAGGCCGCGGGCGGGAUAACGGCCUUCGGGUUGUAACCCGCUUUCGCCUGUGACGAAGCGUGAGUGACGGUAAUGGGUAAAGAAGCACCGGCUAACUACGUG
This 468-nucleotide ribosomal RNA is filed under the name uncultured bacterium. RNAcentral's name for it is "partial 16S ribosomal RNA". It matches the Rfam family "Bacterial small subunit ribosomal RNA", at positions 28 to 507 of the family's 1533-position model. The record is from RNAcentral.